Molecule: ribosomal RNA, 665 nt
Filed under: uncultured Thecofilosea
Lineage: Eukaryota; Cercozoa; Thecofilosea
Description: SSU rRNA
Rfam family: Eukaryotic small subunit ribosomal RNA
Source: RNAcentral
UUCGUCGGGUAAUUGGAAUGAGUACAAUUUAAAUCCCUUAACGAGGAUCAAUUGGAGGGCAAGUCUGGUGCAGCAGCCGCGGUAAUUCCAGCUCCAAGAGCAUAUAUUAAAGUUGUUGCAGUUAAAAAGCUCGUANUUGGAUUUCUGGUUAAAUGAGCCUGGCCCGCGGCCUUUUUGGCCUGUGAGUGCCGGUGCGCGUUUGCCAUCCUUCUAGGUUUCCUGUCUACCCGUUACUGGGCCGGACUUGCGAUCUAGAUCGUUUACUUUGAAAAAAUUANAGUGUUUAAAGCAGGCUUUUGCUAUGAAUACAUUAGCAUGGAAUAAUAAUCUAGGACUUCGGUUCUAUUUUGUUGGUUUCUAGAUCUGAAGUAAUGAUUGAUAGGGACAGUUGGGGGUGCUCGUAUUCCGUGGCCAGAGGUGAAAUUCUUGGAUUCCCGGAAGACGAACUUAUGCGAAAGCAUUCACCAAGGAUGUCUUCUUUAAUCAAGAACGAAAGUUGGGGGAUCGAAGAGGAUCAGAUACCCUCGUAGUCUCAACCAUAAACUAUGCCAACUAGGGAUGGGUGAACGUUGCAUUUUCGACUUCAUCCGCACCUUAUGAGAAAUCAAAGUCUUUGGGUUCCGGGGGGAGUAUGGUCGCAAGGCUGAAACUUAAAGGAAUUGACG